RNAcentral lists this non-coding RNA (216 nucleotides) under Carnobacterium sp. RNAcentral describes it as "T-box sequence". It matches the Rfam family "T-box leader". From Rfam's summary of the family: Uncharged tRNA acts as the effector for transcription antitermination of genes in the T-box leader family. Lineage: Bacteria; Bacillati; Bacillota; Bacilli; Lactobacillales; Carnobacteriaceae. The record is from RNAcentral.
CAUAAAACGAUGAAUGGGACAGAAAGCAUUAAAAAACCUUUUUAGCGAGUUAGAAGAUGGUGAAAGUCUAACAGGCCCUUUUUAGUGUCAGAUCCCCCAGGAGUGUUGAUUUGAAUGUAUUAGUAAAAUCAGCCGGUUGAUUUCCGUUAACAAUUACUUGAGAGAAAACGUUUUGUUUUCUGAACUUGGGUGGUACCACGAGAUUUCGUCCCUUUG